GACGAACGCUGGCGGCGUGCCUAAUACAUGCAAGUAGGACGCAGUUGCGAACGGUUGAGUAACGCCUAGGUAACUGCCUAUUAGAGGGGUAUAACUAUUGGAAACGCUAGCUAAUACCGCAUACUAUUAGAUGGACCUUCGUUUUAUUAGCUAGUAGGUAGGGGAAUGGGCUACCUAGGCGACGAAACAUAGACGAGCUGGGAGGGGGGUUGGCCAGACUGGGACUGAGGAAAGGCCCAGAAUCCUACGGGAGGGAGCAGGAGGGGAUCUUCGGAAAAGGGGGGAAACCUGACCGAGCAACGCCGGGUGAGGGAAGAAGGUUUUCGGAUCGGAAAGCUAUGUUGUGAAGGAAGCGGUACUUACCCAGAAAGGGACGGCUAACUACGUGCCAGCAGCCGCGGUAAUUC
RNAcentral lists this ribosomal RNA (407 nucleotides) under uncultured bacterium. Its description in RNAcentral is "partial 16S ribosomal RNA". It matches the Rfam family "Bacterial small subunit ribosomal RNA", at positions 28 to 526 of the family's 1533-position model. The record is from RNAcentral.